This 50-nucleotide small RNA is filed under the name Escherichia coli. RNAcentral describes it as "RNA1_SPACER6". Lineage: Bacteria; Pseudomonadati; Pseudomonadota; Gammaproteobacteria; Enterobacterales; Enterobacteriaceae. The record is from RNAcentral.
AUAAACCGUCAGCUUUAUAAAUCCGGAGAUACGGAAACUAGAGUUCCCCG